GCAAUGCUAAAAAACAAAGGCAAAUCUUAUCUCCCAGAUUGAAUCAUAAGAUACCUUUGACAUCCUUUCUGGAUUGGCAGUUUUUCACAAAAAUUAGUUUUUAACUAUUUAGAUGGCUCUUUUACCAUGUUCUUUAUCAUUCUUAAAGAUUCAUUUCUUGGUUUCUCUUAUCAACUUAAGUUUGCUCAAUUAUGAAGUUUAUCUUCUCUUAACUUGUAGCUUUUACAUCCUGACAAGGUUAUGGUUGUGUGAGCUAGAAAUUAAUUUUCUGCUCAUUUUCCUUGGGGCAGUGUUCUGUAUCCAGUUAUAAAUAACAUUUGUGGACUUCUGUCCUCUCUGAAGUUCUGAAUUGCUAUACUAGAUGUCAUAUGGAGGAUAACCUUCAAAAUACAUUCCUGAUUGCACAACAACCUUGAGUAAUUUUGAGAUGACCUAUAGUGAUACCAUUGAAAAUAACCGGGUUGCUGUUGUACUCUAUAAUUUUGAGUGCAUGAUCAAGUGAUUUUUACAAUGAAUUUAUGCUAUAGAUAUUAUUUGGUAGGAAUAUUAAGCAAAUCAACAAAGUUGUAGAUGAUUGCCUUUUACUUUAUUUAAGUUUUAUUUCUUCUGAAUAUAUCCAUGUAAAAUGAAUGGGAUUUAUUUCCCAGAAAGUAUUUUAUUUGGAUUUUAAAACAAUUAGUAUGUGAAAAAUAGCUUUUGAAGAAUAUUAAGAAGUUGUAUAGUUUUGAUUCUCAAGAAUUACUCUGAACAAGGGACAUAAUAAACUGGUUGUUGCUGUCAUUACAUUUUGCCACCAUUUGUUUCUAGGGACGGUAAGAAGAGAGAUUUUAUAUAGUGCAGUUCCUUUAGUGCCAGCCACUUUUGUUGUCAAGUGGCACUAAGCCUAAAAACACGUUACAGUUCUAACACAUGCCAUUUCUCUUUUAGGUUUUGGCUUGGUUUGAAGAAGGUGAAGAAACAAUUACAGCCUUUGUAGAACCCUUUGUAAUUUUACUUAUAUUAGUAGCCAAUGCAAUUGUGGGUGUAUGGCAGGAAAGAAAUGCUGAGAAUGCAAUCGAAGCCCUUAAGGAAUAUGAGCCUGAAAUGGGCAAAGUAUAUCGACAGGACAGAAAGAGUGUCCAGCGGAUUAAAGCUAAAGACAUAGUUCCUGGUGAUAUUGUAGAAAUUGCUGUUGGUGACAAAGUUCCUGCUGAUAUAAGAUUAACUUCCAUCAAAUCUACUACUCUAAGAGUUGACCAGUCCAUUCUCACAGGUGAGCAUUAUACAUUGGAAGGUC
Non-coding RNA from Leptonychotes weddellii (Weddell seal), 1276 nucleotides. NCBI's taxonomy places the organism in Eukaryota, Metazoa, Chordata, Mammalia, Carnivora, Phocidae. The record is from RefSeq and is a predicted model, not a curated record.